AUUACUAGAGCAAAGGAUAGACAGCGCCCGCGGAGCUCGCUCCCGGGGCUACCCUACUCCCGUAGGGUUUAGAGUCGUCGGGCCUCUCGGAGAAGCUCGGUCCUGAACUCCACCCUUGAAUAAACUACCUUUGUUGCUUUGGCGGGCCGCCUCGUGCCAGCGGCUUCGGCUGUUGAGUGCCCGCCAGAGGACCCCAACUCUUGUUUUUAGUGAUGUCUGAGUACUAUAUAAUAGUUAAAACUUUCAACAACGGAUCUCUUGGUUCUGGCAUCGAUGAAGAACGCAGCGAAAUGCGAUAAGUAAUGUGAAUUGCAGAAUUCAGUGAAUCAUCGAAUCUUUGAACGCACAUUGCGCCCUCUGGUAUUCCGGGGGGCAUGCCUGUUCGAGCGUCAUUAUAACCACUCAAGCUCUCGCUUGGUAUUGGGGUUCGCGGUUUCGCGGCCCCUAAAAUCAGUGGCGGUGCCUGUCGGCUCUACGCGUAGUAAUACUCCUCGCGAUUGAGUCCGGUAGGUCUACUUGCCAGCAACCCCUAAUUUUUUUUAAGGUUGACCUCGGAUCAGGUAGGGAUACCCGCUGAACUUAAGCAUAUCAAUAAGCGGAGGAAAAGAAACCAACAGGGAUUACCUCAGUAACGGCGAGUGAAGCGGUAACAGCUCAAAUUUGAAAGCUGGCUCUUUUAGGGUCCGCGUUGUAAUUUGUAGAGAUGCUUCGGGUGUGGCCCCGGUCUAAGUU
RNAcentral lists this ribosomal RNA (732 nucleotides) under fungal sp. RNAcentral's name for it is "eukaryotic LSU rRNA". The stretch from base 239 to 392 matches the Rfam family "5.8S ribosomal RNA". The record is from RNAcentral. Lineage: Eukaryota; Fungi.